GAUGAACGCUGGCGGCGUGCCUAAUACAUGCAAGUCGAGCGAACGGACGAGAAGCUUGCUUCUCUGAUGUUAGCGGCGGACGGGUGAGUAACACGUGGAUAACCUACCUAUAAGACUGGGAUAACUUCGGGAAACCGGAGCUAAUACCGGAUGAUAUUUUGAACCGCAUGGCUCAAAAGUGAAAGACGGUCUUGCUGUCACUUAUAGAUGGAUCCGCGCUGCAUUAGCUAGUUGGUAAGGUAACGGCUUACCAAGGCAACGAUGCAUAGCCGACCUGAGAGGGUGAUCGGCCACACUGGAACUGAGACGCGGUCCAGACUCCUACGGGAGGCAGCAGUAGGGAAUCUUCCGCAAUGGGCGAAAGCCUGACGGAGCAACGCCGCGUGAGUGAUGAAGGUCUUCGGAUCGUAAAACUCUGUUAUUAGGGAAGAACAUAUGUGUAAGUAACUGUGCACAUCUUGACGGUACCUAAUCAGAAAGCCACGGCUAACUACGUG
This 497-nucleotide ribosomal RNA is filed under the name uncultured bacterium. RNAcentral's name for it is "partial 16S ribosomal RNA". It matches the Rfam family "Bacterial small subunit ribosomal RNA", at positions 28 to 507 of the family's 1533-position model. The record is from RNAcentral.